This 1927-nucleotide long non-coding RNA is filed under the name Olea europaea subsp. europaea. The record is from RNAcentral. Lineage: Eukaryota; Viridiplantae; Streptophyta; Magnoliopsida; Lamiales; Oleaceae.
CACAUUGUGUGCUUUAUAUAGAAGUCUAAACUAACAACUCUACUAAACAAGUGCAAGUCUAAUAACAACUGAUUCCUAUUUUUCUGUACAUAUUUUGAAUUUAAACUUCACAACUAGCUAUCAAUAAUCUUUGUAGUAGUUUCUGCAAUCUUGGACUCAUUUUGAAUGUGUGACUCAACACGCCCUUGCAAUCGAAUGGGAAGGUGUUGAACAAGAAGAUUGUCUUUCAACAAUAAAAAUCGUCGAGAGCUUAAAGGCUUAGUCAGAAGAUCCGCAAUUUGAUCCUUGGAAGAAAUGAAACAAACUGAAAGUUGUCUUUUAAGAACUUGAUCUCUAACAUGAUGGAAAUCAAUUUCAAUAUGCUUUGUUCUAGCAUGGAAGACAGAAUUUGCACUCAAAUAUGUUGCACCAAUAUUAUCACACCAUAGUCGAGGUGAACCAGAAAAUGGCAAACCAAUUUCAGAGAUGAGAAAUUGAAUCCACUGUAGUUCAGCAGCAGUGUUUGAUAGAGAUUCAUACUCAGCUUAAGUGCUACUACGAGCGACGCUAGGCUAUUGUUUGCAGGUCCAGCUAAUGAGGUUUUGGUCGUGAAAUAUGCAAUAGGCACCAAUAGAACGUCGAUCAUCUGGAUCAGAUGCCUAGUCUGCGUCGGUAAAUGCCUGAAGUUCAUGAGAGUAUCUGGCAAAUAGGAACAGGCCAUUGGAAAUAGAGUGCUUGUGAUACCGUAGUAUCCUCUUGACAGCUUGCCUGUGAGGAACCUUUGGUGAGUGCAUGAAUUUGCUGACACGGUGAACAGCAUAGGCUAUGUUAGGUCGGGUAUAAGAAAGAUAUUGGAGUCCACCUACUAUGCUGCGAUACAGUUGAGCAUCUUCAAAUGGAGCACCUUCAUGUUUGGACAAAGUACAAGUGGUGGACAUUGGUAUAGUACAUAGUUUCACUUUGUCCAUAGCAGCCCGAACCAAAAGAUCAAAGAUAUAUUUCCUCUACAGUUAACCACAUACCAUGAUCAGUUCUGAUAGCCUCAAUGCCAAGGAAGAAUGAAAGAUUCCCUAAUUCUUUUACAGGAAAUUCUUGACCAAGGAAUGUGAUAUAGUGUUGUAUUAUCAUCUCAUCGGACCCGUGACAAUGAUAUCAUCUACAUAGAUAAGAAAAUAAACCCACAAAUCACCAUGGUCAAGAAUAUAUAAAGAGCUAUCUGAUUUGCACCCUUUGAACCCAAGUGAAACUAGCUUGUCUAUGAGACGAGAAAACCAGGCCAUUGCACCUGACAGAGACCAUAAAGACUCUUUUGCUGCUUACACAAGUAGGAGGGAUAGUCUGGAUGAAUAUAACGGGGUUGAGACAUGUAGACAUCCUCAUGAAGAUUGCCANGUCGGGUAUAAGAAAGAUAUUGGAGGCGACCUACUAUGCUGCGAUACAGUUGAGCAUCUUCAAAUGGAGCACCUUCAUGUUUGGACAAAGUACAAGUGGUGGACAUUGGUAUAGUACACGGUUUCACUUUGUCCAUAACAGCCUGAACCAAAAGAUCAAAGAUAUAUUUCCUCUGAGUUAACCACAUACCAUGAUCAGUUCUGAUAGCCUCAAUGCCAAGGAAGAAUGGAAGAUCCCCUAAUUCUUUUACAGAAAAUUCUUGACCAAGGAGUGUGAUAUAGUGUUGUAUUGUCAUCUUAUCGGACCCCGUGACAAUGAUAUCAUCUACAUAGAUAAGAAAAUAAACCCGUAAAUCACCACGGUCAAGAAUAUAUAUAAAGAGCUAUCUGAUUUGCACCCUUUGAACCCAAGUGAAACUAGCUUGUCUGUGAGAUGAGAAAACCAGGCCCUUGGCAUCUAACAGAGGCCAUAAAGACUCUUUUGCUGCUUACACAAGUAGGAGGGAUAGUCUGGAUGAAUAUAACUAGAGGUUGAGACAUGUAGACAUCCUCAUGAA